This 253-nucleotide unclassified non-coding RNA is filed under the name uncultured Acidobacteriota bacterium. RNAcentral describes it as "uncultured Acidobacteria bacterium contains 16S-23S intergenic spacer region". It matches the Rfam family "Bacterial small subunit ribosomal RNA", at positions 524 to 776 of the family's 1533-position model. Lineage: Bacteria; Pseudomonadati; Acidobacteriota. The record is from RNAcentral.
UACGGGGGGGGCAAGCGUUGUUCGGAAUUACUGGGCGUAAAGGGCGCGUAGGCGGACAGGGAAGUCUCCAGUGAAAGCCCCCGGCUCAACCGGGGAAGUGCUGGGGAAACCACCUGUCUGGAGUGCUGGAGAGGAAAGCGGAAUUCCCGGUGUAGCGGUGAAAUGCGUAGAGAUCGGGAGGAACAUCUGCGGCGAAGGCGGCUUUCUGGACAGACACUGACGCUGAGGCGCGAAAGCUAGGGGAGCAAACGGG